This 500-nucleotide ribosomal RNA is filed under the name uncultured bacterium. RNAcentral describes it as "partial 16S ribosomal RNA". It matches the Rfam family "Bacterial small subunit ribosomal RNA", at positions 30 to 523 of the family's 1533-position model. The record is from RNAcentral.
AUUGAACGCUGGCGGCAUGCCUUACACAUGCAAGUCGAACGGCAGCACGGGAGCAAUCCUGGUGGCGAGUGGCGAACGGGUGAGUAAUGUAUCGGAACGUGCCCAGUCGUGGGGGAUAACGUAGCGAAAGCUACGCUAAUACCGCAUACGAUCUAUGGAUGAAAGCGGGGGAUCGCAAGACCUCGCGCGAUUGGAUCGGCCGAUAUCAGAUUAGGUAGAUGGUGGGGUAAAGGCUCACCAAGCCGACGAUCUGUAGCUGGUCUGAGAGGACGACCAGCCACACUGGGACUGAGACACGGCCCAGACUCCUACGGGAGGCAGCAGUGGGGAAUUUUGGACAAUGGGCGAAAGCCUGAUCCAGCAAUGCCGCGUGCAGGAUGAAGGCCUUCGGGUUGUAAACUGCUUUUGUACGGAACGAAACGGCGAACUCUAAUACAGUUUGCUAAUGACGGUACCGUAAGAAUAAGCACCGGCUAACUACGUGCCAGCCGCCGCCGUAA